RNAcentral lists this ribosomal RNA (467 nucleotides) under uncultured bacterium. Its description in RNAcentral is "partial 16S ribosomal RNA". It matches the Rfam family "Bacterial small subunit ribosomal RNA", at positions 28 to 507 of the family's 1533-position model. The record is from RNAcentral.
GACGAACGCUGGCGGCGUGCUUAACACAUGCAAGUCGAACGGAAAGGCCCUGCUUUUGUGGGGUGCUCGAGUGGCGAACGGGUGAGUAACACGUGAGUAACCUGCCCUUGACUUUGGGAUAACUUCAGGAAACUGGGGCUAAUACCGGAUAGGAGCUCCUGCUGCAUGGUGGGGGUUGGAAGUUUCGGCGGUUGGGGAUGGACUCGCGGCUUAUCAGCUUGUUUGUGGGGUGGUGGAUUACCCAGGCUUUGACGGGUAGCCGGCCUGAGAGGGUGGCCGGCCACAUUGGGACUGAGAGACGGCCCAGACUCCUACGGGAGGCAGCAGUGGGGAAUAUUGCACAAUGGGCGGAAGCCUGUUGCAGCAACGCCGCGUGCGGGAUGACGGCCUUCGGGUUGUAAACCGCUUUCGCCUGUGACGAAGCGUGAGUGACGGUAAUGGGUAAAGAAGCACCGGCUAACUACGUG